CACACCGCCCGUCACACCAUGGGAGGUUGUUGCACCAGAAGCAGGUAGCUUAACCGCAAGGGGGGCGCUUGCCACGGUGUGGCCGAUGACUGGGGUG
This 97-nucleotide ribosomal RNA is filed under the name uncultured bacterium. Its description in RNAcentral is "partial 16S ribosomal RNA". It matches the Rfam family "Bacterial small subunit ribosomal RNA", at positions 1386 to 1482 of the family's 1533-position model. The record is from RNAcentral.